UCGUAAGCCGAGAGCCAGACUGAGAGUCAUAAGCCAAGCUAAGCUUGGUGCUAUUUCUUUAUUUUUUUUAUUAUUUGCUUAUGAAGAAUUGUGAUUGAGAGAAGUUUUAUUAAAUUGAUAAUCGUAGAAUAGAUUAUAAAUUGAAUUAAGACAGAAGUAGUAAGCCUCAGUAUUUUGUAGUUUGAUAAUUGAUUUCAAAUAAUCAGAGUAUAGUUAAUUGUGAUACUAACAGACCCAAUUCAUAUAAUCAGUCUUUCCUCGUGCUUGAAUCCACUUUUAUUAGUUCAAUUGCUUUGGUCCACUCAAGCUUGAAUGCAAUGGGAACAACAAACAUAUAUCAAAGAGAUGAAUCUUGAAGAAAGAAAUCCUUAAUAUACUCUUGUGUCAUUCAAAAGUACUAAAAAGUCACUUAAAGAUGAUAUAAUAUUAAACUAAAAUGCCUAAUGCCAAAGACAAGAAGACUAGAAAGUCUUGAAAUAAGACUAAAAAUUAAAAAGGCAUUGACAAGAAU
This 511-nucleotide long non-coding RNA is filed under the name Physcomitrium patens. RNAcentral describes it as "long non-coding RNA (PPAT_LNC000291)". The record is from RNAcentral. Lineage: Eukaryota; Viridiplantae; Streptophyta; Bryopsida; Funariales; Funariaceae.